Helianthus annuus (common sunflower) is the source of this 193-nucleotide long non-coding RNA. RefSeq lists it as uncharacterized. The record is from RefSeq and is a predicted model, not a curated record. Lineage: Eukaryota; Viridiplantae; Streptophyta; Magnoliopsida; Asterales; Asteraceae. The transcript has 2 exons.
AGGUUAAACUCUCUCGUUUAUUCUCUUAGACUUUUCCCAAUCCUUACUCGUGCGAUAAUUCGAGGAAUUCUCUUACGCAAUCAAUGUUGAUAGACGAAGUGAUCGAGAAAACAAUGUUUGAACUAUUUUUGAUAAAAUGUUGGAAUUUGUAUGACAUUUUAGCAUUGUGAAAUUGAUUUAAUCUAUAUUGUCA